RNAcentral lists this long non-coding RNA (710 nucleotides) under Gallus gallus (chicken). The record is from RNAcentral. Lineage: Eukaryota; Metazoa; Chordata; Aves; Galliformes; Phasianidae.
GUGAGGUCAUUCACCUGAGGGGUGAAAUGGCUGCCUGAGGUGAACUCCAGUUACGCUGGCGUGUACCAGUUAGUGUUUUCAGCAGUCUAUCUUGGUUAAACAAACUAGUAUCUAUGUUUUAGCAGAGUCUGUCAAGGAAAUAGGAGCAUGGCUUGGAACUCAGCUGAUAUCUGGAGUCGUAGUUACUCAGAUUAUAAGGUGCAUCAAGGUGCUCUGAAAUUGAAGCUUAGUGGAGACCAGGAACCAGCAACCAUGUUCUCUCAGUGUGGAGUCUUUGGUUGAAGGCAAUGGCACCAACCUGGUGGCUCCAGUGAGUUUGGAGCUUAGCAGGAUUUUAUCCACAUAUUUUCAAGGUGAUUGCAUGGGGGAACAGAUUACCCAGAGCAGAUGUGGAUUCUACAGCCCAGUUUUUUCAAAAUCCUGAGAAACCUGAUCUGAAUUCAACGUUAACCCUGCUUUGUGGACAAGACUGGGUGAAAUGACCUCCUGAGGUUCCUUCCAACCUAAAGAUCUUCAUAGCAGAUUUUACAUCCCAGUGAUUUGAGAAGUUGCAUUCAAAACAAGGGACAUACGCUCCUCCCAGAACAGAAUUUUUGUCUAUGGUGUUUUAAGAAAAAACAACCAGUUGCUCCAUCUGUCAGUAAACCUCUUCCAAGAAGAAGGAAAUAUCAACACAACACAAAAUGUGAUUGCCCUUUGAAAGCAAAAAG